Petromyzon marinus (sea lamprey) is the source of this 493-nucleotide long non-coding RNA. RefSeq lists it as uncharacterized. NCBI's taxonomy places the organism in Eukaryota, Metazoa, Chordata, Hyperoartia, Petromyzontiformes, Petromyzontidae. The record is from RefSeq and is a predicted model, not a curated record.
CACACACUCCGUGUGAGUGUGUGAGAGUCGAUUUCCACAGAUCAAUAAGGCGGCGUGUCCGUGUUGUUCACUCUCGCCCUCGACGACAUCCUCCGACUGCACCGGGCGCUUUCUCAAGCUCUCCGUUCGCCCCGGCAUCGGCGCGGGGUUUUAACAGUCGACUGAGCGCUGUGAGUGACAAGAGAAGGGAGCCUUCUCAUCCGACCCCGCGAAUGCCAGAGACGCCCACCGCUGCGAGAGGCGGCAAUCACGCGGAUGCCCCGCUGACACCGUGCCCACACUGGACGCCGAUUGAAGACGAGCUUCAUAGCUCAUCGGAUUCCGACUCCAGGCUAAAUGAAGAUCACGAUUUAACUCUCCACCAGGUCAAUAUCGCAAACACACGCAAAGAUCCGCUCUGUAUCCGAACAGAUUAGCAGGGUGAGUGCUGCUAGCGAGCAUCUAUGGAGGCCGGAACGGCACAAAGGUGGUUGGCCAGCACCACGCCCGGCCG